AUUUAAAUAGUUUAUAAUAAAAUAUUGAUUUGUGGGAUCAAAGAUAUGAAAUUUCAUUUUAGAUA
This 65-nucleotide transfer RNA is filed under the name Tachinus subterraneus. RNAcentral describes it as "tRNA-His". The record is from RNAcentral. Lineage: Eukaryota; Metazoa; Arthropoda; Insecta; Coleoptera; Staphylinidae.